Molecule: ribosomal RNA, 253 nt
Filed under: uncultured bacterium
Lineage: Bacteria
Description: partial 16S ribosomal RNA
Rfam family: Bacterial small subunit ribosomal RNA
Source: RNAcentral
UACGAAGGGGGCUAGCGUUGCUCGGAAUCACUGGGCGUAAAGCGCACGUAGGCGGCUUUUUAAGUCAGGGGUGAAAUCCUGGAGCUCAACUCCAGAACUGCCUUUGAUACUGGGGAUAUCGAGUCCGGGAGAGGUGAGUGGAACUGCGAGUGUAGAGGUGAAAUUCGUAGAUAUUCGCAAGAACACCAGUGGCGAAGGCGGCUCACUGGCCCGGUACUGACGCUGAGGUGCGAAAGCGUGGGGAGCGAACAGG